CAACCCUUAAGCUUAGUUGCCAUCAUUAAGUUGGGCACUCUAAGUUGACUGCCGGUGACAAACCGGAGGAAGGUGGGGAUGACGUCAAAUCAUCAUGCCCCUUAUGAUUUGGGCUACACACGUGCUACAAUGGACAAUACAAAGGGCAGCGAAACCGCGAGGUCAAGCAAAUCCCAUAAAGUUGUUCUCAGUUCGGAUUGUAGUCUGCAACUCGACUACAUGAAGCUGGAAUCGCUAGUAAUCGUAGAUCAGCAUGCUACGGUGAAUACGUUCCCGGGUCUUGUACACACCGCCCGUCACACCACGAGAGUUUGUAACACCC
This 322-nucleotide ribosomal RNA is filed under the name Staphylococcus aureus. RNAcentral describes it as "bacterial SSU rRNA". It matches the Rfam family "Bacterial small subunit ribosomal RNA", at positions 1099 to 1422 of the family's 1533-position model. The record is from RNAcentral. Lineage: Bacteria; Bacillati; Bacillota; Bacilli; Caryophanales; Staphylococcaceae.